CGACAAGGUUUUUCUUUCUUUCUUUAGAAACAACGUUGUGCAAACAAACUCGGAUUAAACCGUACGCUCAAUUUCUUCGUUGAGCCAUGGCCAUAAUAAGCAACAAGAUGGUAACCAUGAUAAAGGAGUUUAAAGAAGCUCUACGUUUUGCUGCAUCCGUUCAAUUUUGGAGAAUGGCUGUGUUAUGGACAAUCUCGCUCUUGACCUCGUACUUCCAGUUACACAGCAAGAGGCUCUUUUCUCGCAAAGCUCAAUCCUACCCACGAUGUCAUCCUCCGAUAUCUGAGUCUCUGAGGCCUGUUUGCGUCAUUACAGGCGCUACAUCAGGACUGGGAGCUGCUGCUGCACACGCUCUUUCACGGGAAGGUUUCUAUGUUGUUCUGGUUGGACGAUCAUCCCGUUUGUUAUCAAAGAUUAUGAUAGAGAUAAAAACCCAGAAUGAGGAUGCCCAAGUCAAAGCUUUUGAGGUUGACAUGUCGUCGUUCAAAUCAAUUUUGGAGUUUAAAAGCUCACUUCAGCAGUGGCUUUUGGAUUGCAAAAUGCAUUUUUCUGUGCAGCUCUUGAUUAAUAAUGCUGGGAUACUGGCAACAUCAUCACGAUUCACGCCUGAAGGCUAUGAUCAGAUGAUGGCUACAAAUUACAUAGGGGCGUUCUGUCUGACCAAAUUUCUACUACCUCUUCUUAAAAGAAGUCUUGUUCCUUCUCGGAUAGUAAAUGUCACAUCCUUUACACAUCGAAGUGUUUUUGAUAUUCAGGUUGACAAGGAAUCUGUUUCUGGGACACGUUUCUUGAGAUCAGAACAAUAUCCAUUUGCUCGUAUCUAUGAGUAUUCAAAAGUAUACCUGCUUCUCUUCUCAUAUGCGCUCCACCAACAACUCCGCUUGAUGGAUAAACCUUGUCAUGUCUCUGUAAAUGCUGCUGAUCCUGGAUGUGUAAAAACCAACAUCAUGAGGGAACUCCCUUCGUGUCUUUCAAAGUUGGCAUUUCAAGUUUUGAAGCUUUUGGGCCUUUUGCAGUUACCCAAGAAUGGUGUCAGCUCUAUUCUUGAUGCAGCCCUUGCCCCGCCAGAAGCAUCUGGAGUUUACUUUUUUGGUGGAGAGGGUAGGACUGUGAACUCUUCAAUGCUUUCAUAUAAUGCCAAACUUGCAAAAGAACUUUGGACCAUGUCUUAUAAUCUCUUUUUGGAAGCAAGCCUUGCUUCCAAAAAUACAUCUAGCUCUACGUCGGAUAAUUUGUCAUAAAAUAAGGAGGUGAAGAAGAUGAGAAAGAAAUGUGAAGGUGGUUUCCAGAAAGAGCUUUCUGCCUCGUCUUCUUUGACUGAUAUUUAACCAGAAAAUGUUGUGGCUCGUUGACAUGUGAUUUACAAACCUGCUGUUGGUUUCUCUUAUUGAAGGAAAAUAUAAGAUUAACCAAGUUGAGUGUGCGUGCGUGUGUGUGCAAUGGCAAUGAGAAGAGACAUGAACGUAUAGAGGAUGAUACAAAAGGAAAAGAUGUUCAGGAUUGGCGAGGAGUCCCUGGUCACAUUCUAACUAGAUAUGAUUUCCAAAAGACUUACCUCUGGCUGAUUGCAUAUCUCCUCCAAUAAAGUUUGCAAGUCAUGGUGAAGUGUUAUGAAACAAGUAUCCCCUCGAAAGCAGCCUCGUGGAUUUCCAUGGCUUGUGAUGUAACAACAAGCCUGCUUCUUCAGAAUGUCUGUACGGUGUACUUGGAAACUUGAAGCUGUCUGAGGCUUGGCUUUUCUCUGGAGUACUUUUGGGGAUCUUAAAUUCCACGAUUGGUUGAUUGUAGUAAAACCUAUGUAAUAUCAAAACAUGCAGAUUACUCUGGAGCCAAGGCUCCUCUCACUAAAACAUCAGAUAUAUACCAUAAAUUAGUACUCUCGGGUUAUGCUAGUCGGCGCUGAAAUAGUAGGAUCCCAAGGAUGGUACAAAUGUCAAUUAGAUUCUGAUGAUUGGCCUUAUUAUAUCAGGGAUGCUAUAUUUUUUAAACAUGUUACUACCUUUUGGCUCAAGAUUAUACAUUCAUGUCCUUGAUGCAGCACAUGUUUCGAGAACCGCUACAAUCAAUACUCAAUUUUAUUAUGAGGUUGAAACAACGGAUAUACUGGCAUGGGUAAAAUUGUGUUCCAAAGAAAUAGGAGUUGGAUAGACCAAUUGCAUCUACUUUACAAAUGAAUGUGGACCUUCUUUAUCUAAUGAAUGGACAGUCAGUAACUUUGAAACUUUUGAGCCACUGAACUUUCAGGCUAGGCAGUACUGACAACUGCUCCUAUAUGGUGCUGCUGUUGAAGGAGAAUAAUAGUUAGUAGUAUUUUACAUAUAUGAUGGUGCAUGGCAAGGAAGUUGGUGCAGAAAAUGUCAAUCAAAUCAAGGGCAGAAGGCAGAAGGCAAAAGGCAGAAGCAGAACACUACCAGAUGAAUGGCAUUGGCAGAUUGAUGUGUUGAUGAACAUUAAAAAAGAUAGCUGACAUUCUGAUCGCAGUGACGUUUAAAGCAUCAGUUCAGUAGCAGCUCAUGGGCAGCAAGCAUUGCAACCUUCUUGCAUAAUCACUUGGAUGCUGGAUCCUUAA
Durio zibethinus is the source of this 2569-nucleotide non-coding RNA. The record is from RefSeq and is a predicted model, not a curated record. Lineage: Eukaryota; Viridiplantae; Streptophyta; Magnoliopsida; Malvales; Malvaceae.